This is an RNA transcript of Lolium perenne, 3079 nucleotides long. It is a transcript of the gene named pentatricopeptide repeat-containing protein At2g34400, with no coding region annotated. NCBI's taxonomy places the organism in Eukaryota, Viridiplantae, Streptophyta, Magnoliopsida, Poales, Poaceae. The record is from RefSeq and is a predicted model, not a curated record.
CCCUGUGACAUGCCAAACAUGGGCUAAACCGAGACACACCCGAAGCGUCGUCGGAAGAGACACCGGCGGCGACGCCGGAAAUGGCCACCGCGCCAUCAGUCUCCUCCCUCAUCUCCGAGCUCCACUCGAGAUGCCACUCCCUGUCCGCCAUAAAGCAGCUCCAUGCCCACAUCCUCGUACUUGCCUCCCACCACACCCCAUUCCCCUACAACCAUUUCCUCUCCAAGCUCCUCUCCGUCUCCUCUUGCACCACCACCACCGCCGCCGCCGCCUCCGAUUACGCCCUUCUCCUUCUCACCUCCCACCCCACCCCCACCGCCUUCUCAUUCAAUGUCGCGCUCCGCUUCUUCGCCUCCUCCCGCCCACGCACCUCCCUCGAGCUCUUCCUCCGCAUGCUCCGCUCUGAGCUCCGCCCGGACACCUACACUCUUCCUUUCCUCCUCCUCGCCGCCGCCCGCUGCCCGGCGCCUUCCUUCGCCCUCUCGGCGCAUGCGCUUCUUCACAAGCUCGGGCUGCAACACCACGACCACACCGUCCACUCCCUCAUCACCAUGUACUCCAACCUCGGCGAUCCCCGCGCUGCGCGCAGGGUGUUCGACGGAAUUCUCCACCGCGACGUCGUCUCCUGGAACGCUACGAUAAAAGCGUACGAGCGGGCGGGGAUGGCGGCCGACGUGGCGCGGAUGUUCCGUGCCAUGGUUGCCGAGGGUGCCGUGGCGCCCAACGCGGUGACUGUCGCGGUCGUGCUCGCAGCAUGCAGGGAUGCAGGAGACUUGGUGCUUGGUAGGUGGUUGGAGGACUGGGUGAAAUCUGCAGGGAUCGAGGUCGGAUCGCUCGUCGGAUCAGCUCUCGUUGGGAUGUAUGAGAAGUGCGGAGAGAUGGGGGAGGCACGGAGAGUGUUCGAUGGCAUUGCUGACAAGGAUAACGUCGCAUGGAAUGCCAUGAUCACUGGGUACGCGCAGAACGGCAUGUCAAACGAAGCCAUUUCAUUAUUUUACAGCAUGCGGCAAGCAGGGGCACGCCCAGAUAAGAUAACAUUGGUAGGGGUGCUCUCGGCCUGUGCUGCAGUUGGAGCUCUGGAGCUUGGCACUGAACUGGACAGCUACGCCUCACACAGAGGCCUAUACAGCAAUGUCUAUGUCGGGACUGCAUUGGUGGAUAUGUACUCAAAGUGUGGAAAUCUUAACAAAGCCGUAGAAGUCUUUGGGAAACUGCCAUGCAAGAAUGAAGCUUCAUGGAAUGCCUUGAUCUGCGGUCUUGCGUUCAAUGGGCGAGGCCAGGAAGCUAUUCGUCAGUUUGAACUGAUGAGGAGUGAGGAAGGUCUCCGACCGGACGAUAUCACCUUCAUAGGAGUACUUUCUGCUUGUGUGCAUGCUGGGUUACUGCAAGAUGGCCGGAGAUGGUUCUACUCCUUGACACCUGAGUUCCAAAUCAUUCCCAAGGUUGAGCACUACUCCUGCAUGGUUGACUUAUUGGCACGUGCCGGACAUUUAGAAGAAGCAUGGGACUUCAUUCAGAAGAUUCCUGGUAAGGCAGAUGCAGUUAUGUUGGGCGCUUUGCUUGCUGCUUGUCGGAAAUCGAAGAACGUUGAGGUCAGUGGCAGGGUCAUCGAUAGGAUCAUGCAGUUGGAGCCCUCAAACUCGUGGAACUAUGUGGUUUCAUCCAAGAUAUAUGCAAGUUCAGAUAGAUUGGAUGACUCUGCACGGAUGAGAGGACUGAUGAGAGAGAGAGGUGUGAACAAAGUUCCAGGCUGCAGCUGGGUUGAAGUUAGCGGCAGAGUUCUUGAAUUCUAUGCAGGUGAUGAACCACAGCAUGGUGCGGACGAUAUGUAUCCACUCCUCGACAUGCUGGUUGAUGAGAUGAGACUGGAGGGAUAUGUUCCAGAUCUUGAUCUGGUGUAACACAAAAACCAGGUGAAACUUCAGCAUUAGGCUGUAAUCAUGCAACCUGGUUACCAGUCCUCAGAGUCAACAAAUCAACAUGACAAAAAGAUAAUAAGUCCAAAGGAGAAGGUCUGUCUGAAAUUCCUCCUUAUGUUUUUUUUCUCUAACAAAGAGAUUCAAGUUUAAAUUUUAGAAGCUGAUAUAACAAGAACUCCAUGAACUACAUCACCCAUUUUUCAAAUGGUGAAUUACACUGAUAUUUUACCUUUUGAAUUAUUGUAUUGUUGAGAGAUUAAAUAAGCUUGAUUAUCCUUUUGUAACCACAACUUAUUGAUAUUCUCUGCUUCUAUCGGUAAUGUGCAAUCAUGGGCACAAUAUCCAUUUCUUUCCCUACAAGCCGUUUUUGGACGCAAAAAUAUUUUUUUCAUUAUUUUCAACUGGAGUUCCCUAUACCCUUGUACUAUGGAUUUAACCCAAGAGUAUUUAACUUAACAUCAUUUGCAGCAUAGUUUCUGAUAAUUUUAUUUGUUAACAUUUAAGAUUUAUUAAAACGUUUGCGAGUCCCAUAAUUUCUUGAUAUAUGAUAGGAUGAGAGUACUCCCUCCUUCCCAAAUUAGGAUGCCUAUAGUUUUUAGUCAAAGUCAAACUUUUUAAAAUUUGAGCAACUAUAUGUAAAUAUAUCAACAUAUGCAGUUUUAAAUGCACAUAAUAUGAAAAUAUAUUUCAUGAUGGUUCUAAAUAUUAAUCUGGAAUUAUAAAUGUUGACACUUUUUUCUAUAUAGUUGGUUAAAUUUUGAGAAGUUUGACUUUAUCCAAAUAUUAUAGGCAUCCUAUUUUGGGAUGGGAGUAGGUCAUAUGUCUGAAACGGCAGCAUUUAUUAAGGGUCACAGAAGUAAUGUUCAAAGAGAGAUACACUCUGGCGAUUUCAUUAUGCAAAUGGAAUGCUCGUUAUAAGGAUAUGGUGCUUUCCUGUUAUAUGCCCCCUGUCCUAAAAUAUAAGGCUUGCUUGACUUUUUUUUUUAAUGCAGAACUUUGACUAUGUUUUUUACUAUAUGUCUGCAAAAUUAGUAUAAAGACAUACUCCAUAUGAAACCAAAGUAUUGCGCAGGAAAAAUAAAAUGAUAGCAUUUAUGCAUAUGCCCAAUCCAUAUACUUGGUAUAUAUUGGUGGUCAAAGUCGUGCAUAAAAAACGUGCA